ACGCUCGACACCUACGGGAGGCAGCAGUGGGGAAUAUUGGGCAAUGGAGGCAACUCUGACCCAGCAACGCCGCGUGAAUGAUGAAGGUCUUCGGAUUGUAAAGUUCUGUGACGGGGGACGAACACAAUGACGGUACCCCGAUAGCAAGCCACGGCUAACUACGUGCCCGCAGCCGCGGUAAUCUGAGCGGCUGGCAAGGC
Molecule: ribosomal RNA, 200 nt
Filed under: uncultured bacterium
Lineage: Bacteria
Description: partial 16S ribosomal RNA
Rfam family: Bacterial small subunit ribosomal RNA
Source: RNAcentral